UACGUAGGCAGCAAGCGUUGUUCGGAAUUACUGGGCGUAAAGAGUGUGUAGGCGGUGCUCUAAGUUUGGUGUGAAAUCUCCCGGCUCAACUGGGAGGGUGCGCCGAAAACUGGAAUGCUAGAGUAUGGGAGAGGUAAGCGGAAUUCCUGGUGUAGCGGUGAAAUGCGUAGAUAUCAGGAGGAACACCUGUGGUGUAGACAGCUUACUGGACCAUCACUGACGCUGAGACACGAAAGCGUGGGUAGCAAACAGG
This 253-nucleotide ribosomal RNA is filed under the name uncultured bacterium. RNAcentral's name for it is "partial 16S ribosomal RNA". It matches the Rfam family "Bacterial small subunit ribosomal RNA", at positions 524 to 776 of the family's 1533-position model. The record is from RNAcentral.